GAGGAAUAUUGGUCAAUGGAGGCAACUCUGAACCAGCCAUGCCGCGUGCAGGAUGACGGUCCUAUGGAUUGUAAACUGCUUUUGUACGGGAAGAAAUGUAUUUACGUGUAGAUAUUUGACGGUACCGUAAGAAUAAGGAUCGGCUAACUCCGUGCCAGCAGCCGCGGUAAUACGGAGGAUCCGAGUGUUAUCCGGAAUUAUUGGGUUUAAAGGGUUCGUAGGCGGCUAAGUAAGUCAGUGGUGAAAUCUUGCAGCUUAACUGUAAAAUUGCCGUUGAUACUGCUUGGCUUGAAUAGUAUAGAAGUAAUUAGAAUAUGUAGUGUAGCGGUGAAAUGCUUAGAUAUUACAUGGAAUACCAAUUGCGAAGGCAGAUUACUACGUAUUUAUUGACGCUGAUGAACGAAAGCGUGGGUAGCGAACAGGAUUAGAUACCCUGGUAGUCCACGCCGUAAACGAUGGAUACUAGCUGUUCGGUUUUCGGACUGAGUGGCUAAGCGAAAGUGAUAAGUAUCCCACCUGGGGAGUACGUUCGCAAGAAUGAAACUCAAAGGAAUUGACGGGGGCCCGCACAAGCGGUGGAGCAUGUGGUUUAAUUCGAUGAUACGCGAGGAACCUUACCAAGGCUUAAAUGUAGAUUGACAGGUUUAGAGAUAGACUUUCCUUCGGGCAAUUUACAAGGUGCUGCAUGGUUGUCGUCAGCUCGUGCCGUGAGGUGUCAGGUUAAGUCCUAUAACGAGCGCA
This 741-nucleotide ribosomal RNA is filed under the name uncultured bacterium. RNAcentral's name for it is "bacterial SSU rRNA". It matches the Rfam family "Bacterial small subunit ribosomal RNA", at positions 356 to 1100 of the family's 1533-position model. The record is from RNAcentral.